Small nuclear RNA from Cavia porcellus (domestic guinea pig), 106 nucleotides. The record is from Ensembl. NCBI's taxonomy places the organism in Eukaryota, Metazoa, Chordata, Mammalia, Rodentia, Caviidae.
GUGCUCGCUUCGGCAGCACAUAUACUAAAAUUGGAACAAUACAGAGAAGAUUAACAUGGCCCUUGCGCAAGGAUGACAUGCAAAUCAUGAAGCGUUCCAUAUUUUU